RNAcentral lists this ribosomal RNA (872 nucleotides) under uncultured eukaryote. Its description in RNAcentral is "SSU rRNA". It matches the Rfam family "Eukaryotic small subunit ribosomal RNA", at positions 566 to 1462 of the family's 1831-position model. The record is from RNAcentral.
GCCAAGCAGCCGCGGUAAUUCCAGCUCCAAUAGCGUAUAUUAAAGUUGUUGCGGUAAAAAAGCUCGUAGUUGGAUUUCUGUUGAGAGCGACCGGUCCAUACCAUGUAUGCGUAUCUGGCUUGCUCUCGGCAUCCUCUCGAUAGACGUUGCUGCGCUUGAUUGCGUGGCGCGGAUCUCGGGACUUUUACUUUGAGGAAAUUAGAGUGUUCACGGCAGGCUUUCGCCAGAAUACAUUAGCAUGGAAUAAUACUAUAGGAUCUUGGUUCUAUUUUGUUGGUUUCUAGAAUUGAGAUAAUGAUUAAUAGGGACAAUUGGGGGCAUUCGUAUCAACACGUCAGAGGUGGAAUUCUUGGAUUGUGUUGCGACGAACUACUGCGAAAGCAUUUGCCAAGGAUGUUUUCAUUGAUCAAGAACGAAAGUAAGGGGAUCGAAGACGAUUAGAUACCGUCGUAGUCUUUACCAUAAACUAUGCCGACUAGAGAUGGGACAUCGUUCAUUUACGACUUGUUCCGCACCUUAUGAGAUAUCAAAGUCUUUGGGUUCCGGGGGGAGUAUGGUCGCAAGACUGAAACUUAAAGGAAUUGACGGAAGGGCACCACCAGGAGUGGAGCCUGCGGCUUAAUUUGACUCAACACGGGGAAACUCACCAGGUCCAGACAUAAUAAGGAUUGACAGAUUGAUAGCUCUUUCUUGAUUUUAUGGGUGGUGGUGCAUGGCCGUUCUUAGUUCGUGGAGUGAUUUGUCUGCUUAAUUGCGUUAACGAACGAGACCUUAACCUGCUAAAUAGGAGCGCCUAUCUUCGGAUAAGCGUCUUUCUUCUUAGAGGGACUUUAUGCGUUUCAGCAUGAGGAAGUUUGAGGCUAAAACAGGUC